AAACCUCACCAGAGGCUUCUUGCAAUGCCAUCUGGGCUGAUGUUACUUAUCCAGCUGUAUUUCCUAAAUCUUUAAUUAGCAACAGGUUUUUUGUGUGAGGACAGAAUGCAACCCCUGGGCUAUUUCACAGGUCAGUGAGCCUCACACGCUCCUGGGGAGGCUUGGUUCCAAAUCCGUUCUCUGCGUACUCUUCUUCCGCAACUCGUUGGAAUCAGACAAGGAAACAAAUUACUCUGAUGCCUCCAAAGUGAAAGGAAAGGUCAUUUGACUGAGAAAAUCCUAAUCUCCAUACAAUUCCUUCCACAAAAGCAGUCCAGGGAUUAAGAAUCCACCUGCCAAUGCGGAGAACAUGGGUUCGAUCGCUGCUCGGGGAAGAUUUCACGUGCUGCAGAGCAGCUAAGCCCGUGCUCUGCAACAAGAGAAGCCACCACCGCAAGGAUACAGUGCAAGACAACGAGGGAGUAGCCCUGCUCAGCGCAGCUAGAGGAAGCCCCACGCAGCAAGGAAGGCCCAGCGCAGCCAAAAACAAAUAAAUACAUAAAAUAAGACUGAAUAGGCUCGCAAUCGUUGUAGGAAAACAAUAGCCUAAUAAAGAUCCCAUAGACUAUCAUAACCGCUGCUCAAAUUGGCGACUCUUCAUUUCUGUAUGCAGGCAUAAAAGAAGCACGUGGUACCCAGUGGGUCAACUGCUGAUCAAAACUGUAUGUGUCCCAGGGGAAGUGGGGGAGUGGGGUACAGCUCUGUCCUAACUCAUAUUUCAGUACAUAAUUCUCAGCUGAGGAAAGAUGGAAAAAUACUGCUUCUGUCUCAUCUGGUCCAUAGACCAGGUAACACAGACAUUAACCUUCUGAAAACCAUUUCCCUUUUUGAUCUGUAUGGGUAAAACUUGUCCACAGAAGCCUCCAAAGACACCAGAAGAGGCACCCUGUGACCUUGCUGUCCAGAUCUUUUUCAACUGUGUGCACAUGCUCAGUCGCUUCAGUCAUGUCUGACUCUUUGCCACCCCAUGGACUGUAGCCCACCAGGCUCCUCUGUCCGUGGGACUCUCCAGGCAAGAAUACUGGAG
Molecule: long non-coding RNA, 1066 nt
Organism: Bos taurus (domestic cattle)
Lineage: Eukaryota; Metazoa; Chordata; Mammalia; Artiodactyla; Bovidae
Source: Ensembl